Molecule: long non-coding RNA, 4540 nt
Organism: Apis cerana (Asiatic honeybee)
Lineage: Eukaryota; Metazoa; Arthropoda; Insecta; Hymenoptera; Apidae
Source: RefSeq, a predicted model, not a curated record
AAUAUUUAAUAUUUAUUUAUUAUUUUUGUAUUUGUCUUGUUUUACAAUAAAAAAAAUAUAUUUAAAUAGAUUAUUUAAAUUAUUUUUUUAUCAUAUUCAAUUUCAUUAGAAUUAAAAUAUAACUAUCUAUUUAAGAAAGAUAUAGUUAUAUUUUUUAGUGAAAUUUUUUCCGAUUAGAUAAAAAUUUUUCUAGAAUACUUAGAUAUAUUUACAACUAAUAACAGAUCAUGUGGCACAAUCUUGAACCGCAGGAACAAGCAGAACAGGGUAGGGCACGAGGAGAGGAUUUACCGAGAGAAAGAGAGAGAGAGAGAAAAGAAAGGAGGAAGAGAGAAAGAGAAAGAGAGAGAGAGAGAGAGAAAUAGAGUAGAGACCGUUGUCAAUAGCCAUACUUGACUCAUAGAAACGGGUUCCGCUCGCAUUCCGUGUGUCCAGCCCUCCGUUGGUCACACUGACUUCGUUCAACCUUAGAACAUUUUCUUUUUCUUUUAUAGGGAUUUCUGUAAAUGUAGUAUACGUGUGCACAUGCGCUACCGCGACAAAGAUCACACGAUUCUACACAUUUAUUUAAUAAUGGAGAAGAAAUAUAAUAUCUGCAUAGUAUGUGUACUUUAUAAAACAGAGAAACAUAUUACAAUGCGAAUUUACAAUAAAAUUUUACAUUAAUGGAAUCGAUUUCAAAUAAUUUUUAAAAAAACUGUAAUUUUGAUUUGAUGUUAUAUUUUAAUAAUUAUUUUUGUUGUUUCUUUUUUAAUUUUAUCAAUUUUUAUAUAUAAUUGAAAUAAAACAAUUUGAAAAACUCAAAACAAAAGAUUCCAAAAUUUUAAAAGAUAAAAAAAUUUUAAAAGUUAUUAGAUAACAAUAUUCGAAUUUUAAUUUUAAUAACCAGACUAUGUCGAUCCAGGAAGAGAGCGAAUCAGAUGAACGCCCAUUGUUGAUCAUUUGCCAAAUUCAGCUAUAACAUAGCGAAAAAGGAAACUUGUUUCUUAAAAACUUUUGUGUGAUCAUCCCAAUAAAUUUUGAUCAAAAUAUGGGCAUAUAGAAGAAACAAAAAAAUUCGUAAAUUCAAAAAGAAACGACAAUUCCCGUACAAUUUACUGAUCGACUUUCAAUAGUUCAACCUCUCGCGUAUUCAGACCGGCUUCUCUUUAACUAACAGCAAUAUAUGUUAAAUCGAUGUAUAAAGUGAGAGGUUUCGUAAGAGAAUCGACGUGUCCUCCACCAGAAUAAUGAAGAGAGUAGCCGACCAACGUAUCCAGCCAUGAAACGAAUCGGUAGAAGAUGAAGAUUGGAGAUUACAUUCUUUCGAUUUACUUCUCGAAACGGUACAGGCCAUGAAUAUAUGUAUAUAUACAUGUGUAUUUUAUAUAUAUAUAUUACGUAUAUAACGAGGUAAACGAUUGCGCGCGCCACGUUUGCAGAGAAUUAGAUAGGUUGGCAGAAUCUGGAAUUCUAAGCGCGUGCACAUAACCUAUAUUUUUCCUAAUUCAUAUGAUAUUACAUCUGUGAUUGUGUUAUUUUUACACUUGAAUGAAGAUCUUGAAUGGGAAUGUUAUUGUGGUUUUGAUUUUAAUUAUAUGCUAAUUCAAAGACUUCAACAGAUUACAUGAAAUCAUACAAAAUUUGAAAUCGUUAAUAUUGAUGUGUGUACAUGAAAGAUCGAUCGUUUAAUACAUUGAAGAUUUAUUGAAAACUAAAAUUACUGUAUUUCAUGAAUCAAUCACAGAAUAACGAGAAACAAUGUGUCAUUGUUAUUUCUGUCGUUUGGCAUUUUAAGAGAAGAAUUUAAGCUCGAUGAAGAAUUCGUCGGAAAACAAUGGCGGCGGCAUUCAAGCCACAUGUGUUCAGACCACGUGAUUUACACCGGUCUCCGGGCCACGCAUCCACCGGCUGGAAUUAAAUUACUUUCUACGGGGCGUUCGCCUUUCAUGAAAUCGACGCGAUCCCUUAACAGCGGCAAACUUAUUAUCAACGAUACACACCGGACGUCCGUUUCAUUAAACCGUGCCUAAGAACUUGACGUGGGUAAAACGCGGGCUUAUUUCAGAUCGUCUGGGCAAUAAUUAAGCAUAAUUAAUGUCUCGAGUAAUUGGACAGGGAGAUGCUGACCAAAGCAGGUUCCCAAAAUUAGGAUAAAAGGUCUCCAUCUGGUUUGAAAUGAGGAAAUGUUCUUCUUUGAGAAUUUUGCAAAAUUAAUCGGUUGGUUAGUUGAGCGUGAUAAUAUUGAAGAAACGAUGUGAACACAGUUACGAAAUAUGGAAGUUUUUAAUCUUUUUUUCUUUUUUUAUAUAUAUAUAUAAUUAUGAUUACGAUUACGAAUUUUUGCCUAGAAAAUGAAUUUUUAUACAAAAAGAAAUAUAAAUUGAAACAAUAAAUUAAAAGAGGAAUGAAAUUUUUAAUGAAAAAUUUCAUUUUUAAAUUGGAAUAUUAUUAAUAAUUUCAACAAUAAAAAUAUAUAUGACUUAAAUGAUUUAAAUUAAUUUUAAUCAAUGAUUUACUUCAAAUCAUAAUAUAUAUGAUAUAUAAUCUCUCAUAUAUCGCUCUAUUCAAACAAAAAUAUAUACUAAGUCAUAAAAAUAACAAUGUAAAUAAAAAAAUUAUAACAAAGAUGAAGUUAAAGCAAUUCUGUUUUCUAUGUACAUAAUAUUAUAUAUACUCACUUUACACUACUUAUCACUAUUCUUUUAAUAACACUAAUAUAAUUAAAUUGUUUUGAACAACUUGUCUAUCGAUAACUACUAUCAUGAAAUGUAGAUGGAAAUAUAAAAAAAGAUGAAGAGAAACCAUGAAAAGUGAAUGCAUUGAAAACCACAAUGCAAAGCAGUAAAUUUGUUAAAUUGGAUAAAACUAGCUCGUAUAGGACUUCACCCGUCAUCAAAGAAACCUCGCAUGUUACGGUCGCGACGACUCUAUGGCAUCCCGGAGUGCCGAGAAGUGAAAAAAUCUCCGCAACGCAGGAAAUUUACACUUUGAAACCUGAGAUUCGAUCCGUGCGCUCGACUCUUUGACCAAUUCACAUUGGCGUAAUCUUUCUAAUCUACAAUUUUAAUUUUGAUUUGGAAAGGAGAAAAUAGAUUCAAAAAACACGGAAAGUUUGAUACCAAGUGACUUUGCAACCUUGUAACCUAUAACGUGGAGAUCACUAAACAUUGAAAAAGAGAGCCCUCUUGUGUUAACCAUUACAACUAAUCGUAGGCCUUCCUUGAUUCUUUCUAUUUUACGCAAUGUUACUGUUCUACUCAUAAGGUAUUCUGCACAACCAAGUAUUCACGGAACGAGGAAAAACGCGUUUUCCCUGAGCAGCCAGCUGGCUUUCAUUUGCCUGUAACGGGAAGUGAACGACGUAAUAGGAACUGGAGGAAUCCAGCAACGAUGAACUGCAAGGUCAAUGAUUUUCCGAGCAGACCGAUGAACUUGCCUUGCACAUAAGUACAUACGUGCACUACAGAAGGUACCAAUACUGGGAGAGCAAAUGAGAAAGAAAGAGAUAGAGAACGAGAGGAGGCAAGGUCGUUGCCUAGAUAACAGUUGCAAGGUACAGUUGACUUCAAUACCUGGAACUAAGCAACCAGAUAUAAUGAAAAAGGGAAAGAAAAAAUUGUUUGUCGUAUUAUCAUUAAUUAUGGUGUAAAUUAUUAUUUAUCGGUUAACUAGUUUUAAAAAUAAUGCUCUUUCUUUUGUAGAAUAGGUUAUGAAUUAAUUGGAAUUGAUUAGUUUAAAGGAAAUCUCAAUUGGACGAAGGAAAUUUUUUCAAGAUUAUGAUAAUUUAUCCAUUGUUUUACAUCAUUACACCAUUGUAUAUUAUAUGAAAUUAUGUGAACAAAUCACCAUUGUUGAUAUUAACAUUCCUUAGAUUAGUGAAAUUUGUUUUAUAUUUAUAAUUAUUUAUUCGAGACAAUGCACAUAUAUAUAUAUAUAUAUAUACACACAAAACAUAAUACAAAAUAUGCUAGAGUAUAUAUUCGACAAAUAUGAAUAAAAAAAAACAACUUUUAUUAGAGAUUCAUUUAUUAUAUGAUUAUGGGAUAAAUAAUCUUGAAAACAAGUAUAAUAUGUAUAAACAUAAGCAAAAACGGGAGAACGUGAGAAGAAUUACAUUGUUAAAAUGAUAUUGUUAUGUGAAAUUCAAUAGAAAAAUAUGCUCAAAAAUGAUUUCGAUGCAUUUUACCGCUGUAAGAACCAACAGGUAACAACGAUAUUUUUUCAUCUUUUAUUUUUUCAUUCUAUCACCUUCUAUUGCAUUUAUUGUUUUAUUAUUUUUUUCUUGUAUUUAUUAUUUUAUCUGUAUAUAAAUGUAAUUUUACAAUUAUACAUUACUGAAUAAUCUUGUGACUAUUCUGUUUGUUAUAAUAAUAUAUUACUAUCAAAAAUAUAUAAAUAUAUAAAAAAUAUAGAUAAUACAUAAAAGAGCUAAGUCAUUGAAUAUUUUAUUUAAUAAUGAUUAAGAUGCUUUUAAUAUUGUUGAUUUUAUUUGGAAACAUAUUAAAUUUAAGACAAAGAAGAAUAAUAGAGAUGAUUAAAACUAUAAAAAUUUUUCAAA